AGAGUUUGAUCCUGGCUCAGGAUGAACGCUAGCGGCAGGCCUAAUACAUGCAAGUCGAACGGUCAGUAGCAAUACUGAUAGUGGCGCACGGGUGCGUAACACGUAACUAACCUACCUAUAACUGGGGGAUAGCCCGCCGAAAGGCGGAUUAAUACCGCAUAAGCUGCUUGAGUGGCAUCACUCGAAUAGUAAAGAUUUAUUGGUUAUAGAUGGGGUUGCGGGUCAUUAGCUAGUUGGUAAGGUAACGGCUUACCAAGGCGACGAUGACUAGGGGAGCUGAGAGGCUGGUCCCCCACACGGGCACUGAGAUACGGGCCCGACUCCUACGGGAGGCAGCAGUAGGGAAUAUUGGGCAAUGGGCGAGAGCCUGACCCAGCCAUGCCGCGUGCAGGAAGAAGGCUUUCUGAGUCGUAAACUGCUUUUGACAGGGAAGAAUAAGCACUACGUGUAGUGUGAUGACGGUACCUGCAGAAUAAGCACCGGCUAACUCCGUGCCAGCAGCCGCGGUAAUACGGAGGGUGCGAGCGUUGUCCGGAUUUAUUGGGUUUAAAGGGUGCGUAGGCGGCCCGUUAAGUCCGGGGUGAAAGCCCGUUGCUCAACAACGGAACUGCCCUGGAUACUGACGGGCUUGAGUACAGACGAGGUUGGCGGAAUGGACCGAGUAGCGGUGAAAUGCAUAGAUACGGUCCAGAACCCCGAUUGCGAAGGCAGCUGACUAGGCUGUUACUGACGCUGAGGCACGAAAGCGUGGGGAGCGAACAGGAUUAGAUACCCUGGUAGUC
Molecule: ribosomal RNA, 782 nt
Filed under: uncultured bacterium
Lineage: Bacteria
Description: bacterial SSU rRNA
Rfam family: Bacterial small subunit ribosomal RNA
Source: RNAcentral